UACGGAGGAUCCGAGCGUUAUCCGGAUUUAUUGGGUUUAAAGGGUGCGCAGGCGGGAUGUUAAGUCGGCGGUGAAAUUUUGCAGCUCAACUGUAAAAGUGCCUUCGAUACUGGCUUUCUUGAGUGUGGAUGAAGUAGGCGGAAUUUGUGGUGUAGCGGUGAAAUGCUUAGAUAUCACGAGGAACUCCGAUUGCGCAGGCAGCUUACUAAACCACUACUGACGCUCAUGCACGAAGGCGUGGGGAUCAAACAGGAUUAGAUACCCCCGUAGUCCC
Molecule: ribosomal RNA, 274 nt
Filed under: uncultured Petrimonas sp.
Lineage: Bacteria; Pseudomonadati; Bacteroidota; Bacteroidia; Bacteroidales; Dysgonomonadaceae
Description: partial 16S ribosomal RNA
Rfam family: Bacterial small subunit ribosomal RNA
Source: RNAcentral